GAUUAGGUGGUUGUGUUCGCUUGCUUGACAGGCAAGAGGUCACUGGUUCGAUUCCAGUACGCCCCA
Molecule: transfer RNA, 66 nt
Filed under: Marinilabiliales bacterium
Lineage: Bacteria; Pseudomonadati; Bacteroidota; Bacteroidia; Marinilabiliales
Description: tRNA-Val
Rfam family: tRNA
About the family: Transfer RNA (tRNA) molecules are approximately 80 nucleotides in length. Their secondary structure includes four short double-helical elements and three loops (D, anti-codon, and T loops).
Source: RNAcentral